UGGCUUCUUUGGGGACGCCAUGAAGGCCACGGCCACUGCCUGCCGGCCCUGCCCUUGCCCAUACAUCGAUGCCUCCCGCAGAUUCUCAGACACUUGCUUCCUGGACACGGAUGGCCAAGCCACAUGUGACGCCUGUGCCCCAGGCUACACUGGCCGCCGCUGUGAGAGCUGUGCCCCCGGAUACGAGGGCAACCCCAUCCAGCCCGGCGGGAAGUGCAGGCCCGUCAGUGAGUAUGGCUGCCACCAUCCCCUGACACCCACCUCCCAACCCAACCUGGGCUGCACACCAGGCACCCUCCCUCCCUGCCCCAGCUCAUGAACCUUGGGGAGCCACUGUUCCUCUAUCUGCCUGGACCACGUAUAUCCCAUUCCCACCUGCCCUGCCAACACUCGUUUUGUGUCCCAGACCAGGAGAUUGUGCGCUGUGACGAGCGUGGCAGCAUGGGGACCUCCGGGGAGGCCUGCCGCUGUAAGGCAACAAGACUGAAACUCCGUCUCAA
This 500-nucleotide small RNA is filed under the name Pan troglodytes (chimpanzee). RNAcentral's name for it is "retained intron". The record is from RNAcentral. Lineage: Eukaryota; Metazoa; Chordata; Mammalia; Primates; Hominidae.